This 294-nucleotide ribosomal RNA is filed under the name uncultured bacterium. RNAcentral describes it as "partial 16S ribosomal RNA". It matches the Rfam family "Bacterial small subunit ribosomal RNA", at positions 331 to 643 of the family's 1533-position model. The record is from RNAcentral.
GUUGACCUACGGGAGGCAGCAGUGGGGAAUAUUGCACAAUGGGGGAAACCCUGAUGCAGCGACGCCGCGUGAGCGAAGAAGUAUUUCGGUAUGUAAAGCUCUAUCAGCAGGGAAGAAAAAGGACGGUACCUGCAGAAGAAGCCACGGCUAACUACGUGCCAGCAGCCGCGGUAAUACGUAGGUGGCAAGCGUUAUCCGGAAUUACUGGGUGUAAAGGGGGUGUAGGCGGGGGUGCAAGUCAGAUGUGAAAAUUAUGGGCUCAACCCAUAACCUGCGUCUGAAACUGUAGCUCUU